GUGCCAGCAGCCGCGGUAAUACGGAGGGUGCAAGCGUUGUCCGGAUUUAUUGGGUUUAAAGGGUGCGUAGGCGGUCCUUUAAGUCAGUGGUGAAAGCCAACAGCUCAACUGUUGAACUGCCAUUGAUACUGGAGGACUUGAGUACAGACGAGGUAGGCGGAAUUGACGGUGUAGCGGUGAAAUGCAUAGAUAUCGUCAAGAACACCGAUUGCGAAGGCAGCUUACUAGACUGUAACUGACGCUGAGGCACGAAAGUGUGGGGAUCAAACAGGAUUAGAUACCCUGGUAGUCC
This 292-nucleotide ribosomal RNA is filed under the name uncultured bacterium. Its description in RNAcentral is "partial 16S ribosomal RNA". It matches the Rfam family "Bacterial small subunit ribosomal RNA", at positions 505 to 796 of the family's 1533-position model. The record is from RNAcentral.